Molecule: unclassified non-coding RNA, 4270 nt
Filed under: Lytechinus variegatus (green sea urchin)
Lineage: Eukaryota; Metazoa; Echinodermata; Echinoidea; Temnopleuroida; Toxopneustidae
Description: nAD-dependent protein lipoamidase sirtuin-4, mitochondrial-like, transcript variant X2
Source: RNAcentral
AUUACAGUAAAAUGUCAGAAAUUGUUGAAUAAAUCCCCAGAAACGACGGUUAUUCCUGUCUAUUCAUUGAGCUGAUCGAGCUGAGCAGAGCUGAGCCUGACUAGCUGCCGGAGCUGAGGGACUGCAUGUCUAUAUAUAGCAGUACAUGACCACAGCCGAGUUGCGACGGUUGGUGCAGUAUUGACAAGUGAGAACUUAGCCCAUCCCAGGCAGCCCAGCAGGAGGCAGGGGACGGACUUCCGUGCACUUUCCAUAAAGUAUCAAGUUUUCUUGCUGCUGCAGUAAUGAAGAAAUAACGUUACACUUUUCGAAAAAAGAUGACAGGUCCACAGCAUUAGCCGAUGCUCUAUGCAUUCGUCAUUGACAUUAUUACUGAUUUGAGCAAUAAAAAUGCCUCUUUCAAUUUGGAGAAUUCGAGCAACCUGGCCCUCCAGCUCCUGGCCUGGGAAGUCGCUCCAAUUGGUAGCAGUAACCUCAAUACCUUGUAGGCCUAGAUCGACAUCUUGUGCCCGGUCUACACAGUUUGACCAAAGACAAAGGAGAGUAUGCUUCAUUAAACAUAUCAGCCUCAACUGUCUGACCCUGGCCCAGUCUACCCCACGUUUAUUUUCUUGGUCCCUACACGAACGUUUUUCACACUUCGUCCCUGCAAGUCGACCUGUCAAGGAGAGCAGUAUUGAACAGUUGCAACAAUUUGUAGACAAUUCAAAGCGCUUGUUUGUACUGACGGGUGCAGGAAUUUCAACUGAGUCUGGAAUACCAGAUUAUCGCUCAGAUGAAGUUGGAUUGUAUGCUCGUAGUGAUAGAAGGCCUAUACAGUACCAUGAUUUUGUCCAUAGUCCUUUACGUCGCCAGCGCUACUGGGCCAGGAACUAUGUAGGAUGGCCGCAAUUCAGCUCUUUUAUGCCAAAUCAAACCCACCUUGCUCUUGCUGAAUGGGAGAAAGUAGGAAAAAUUCAUUGGUUGGUGACACAAAAUGUAGACGCGCUUCAUACCAAAGCAGGCAGUCAACGUGUAAUAGAACUUCAUGGCUGCUCUCACAGAAUCAUUUGCAUGAGCUGCAAGACCCUGACAAGCAGGAAUGUCCUUCAGGAGAGGAUGAUGGCAGCAAACCCAGACUUUCACACUGAGAAGCAAUAUGCCCCUGCACCUGAUGGAGAUGUGAUCCUUCCUGAUGAACUCGUUACACGGUUUCAUAUGCCUUCGUGUGAGAGCUGUGGGGGACUUCUCAAACCUCAUCUUGUAUUUUUUGGGGACAAUGUCGACAGAGAGAUCAAGGAGUCAGUCUUCCAGAAAUUGGAAGAGAGUGAUGCAGUCCUUGUUAUAGGAUCCUCCUUGGAGGUGUAUUCCGGAUAUAGGUUUAUCCACUCGGCCUGGGAGCAGAAGAAACCUGUUGCAGUCAUCAACAUAGGCAAGACUAGGGCUGACAAGCUGGGACCACUGAAGAUAGAAGGCAGGUUAGGGGACAUCAUUCCUCGCAUCAGGGUAUCAUGAUAUCAAGCAGGGAGCAAACUCAGGAAAUUAGGAGCUGAGCAGACUACAUGUCUUCUCGAAGAGUUCGUGGACUGCAUUUGCUAGAAAAUCCCUUCGACAGAUGACUCAUAAUGCCAUCAAGGAAACUAAAGCCAGUCAAGAUAAUGACCCACCAGGUGCAGCACUACACCCAAUUAUCGGUCUUCACAUCGUUUACGAGCGCACAUGAUUUACAGAAAAUGAACAAGUUUAUCUGAAAGGUGCGAAAUAAAGUAAACAAACUUAGAAGCCCAAACCUCACUGAAAUCUAACAAAAUGAAGAAAGUACUUUCUAAACCAUACAUUAGUCCAAUGUUGUAAAAAUAAGCUUAAGAAUGUUGAAAAAUAUUUAGAGAGGCUGUUAAUAUUAGGAAAUAAAAAAUCAAAAUAAAAAACUCACCCAAAAUUCACUUCUUUUUCUUGACCAGCUACAAAAUUAAUGCUCUGAAUAUUUUCAAAAAUAUUGAUUGGUUAUUCCUGUAAAUCUCGUGCAAUAUAAUUGUGCACAAUGGUUAUGUAAACAAAAGGACUCUGAUAUCAAUUUUCAAAAUAAUUGUAUCACAUCCGAUCCAUUGCAUCCUAGUACAUUAAUCCUUAUUGCAGUCCCACAUGUUCAUAUUUGAGUGUGUUGUGCUGUGUGGAAUUGCGGCUCGUGAAACGAACAUGGCGCAUCUUUUUGGGGGAGGGGAAGGAGUUAUUGUAAUUAUGCUUUUCAAAUUUUUCGGGAGCAAAUAAUCUACAGUUAAGUAAACCCCCUUUUUUUAUCAUAGAUGUGCACCAAAGGUCUUAUAAUGUAUGUUGAUACAUGUUUAAUUAUACUAUUGGGAAUUAUACCAUCACAACCAGAACUUUGCCUUUAAACUCAAUAGAUUUUCUUCAUUUGUUCAUUUUAAAAACAGAUUAUGCUGAUCAGGAUUUUUUAUCAAGAAAUCAUUGAAUGCUUUACUACUGUCAGGUACCCCCCUAAUACAGAUUUGGUUCAAAGCUACAAAAGUAACGAUUGAAUUUUCCAGCAAUCAGAUUUGAUUUCUCAAUUUAUUCUCCAUCAAUUUCCAUUAAACAAAUGUUGGAUUUUUUUGUUCUUUUAAAGAUAUUGUUAAUCACAAGCCAUGAUGAGUAGUAGUACGCUUAUAGUACAGUUCACACGAGAUUGAUCUAAUUGAGUACUUUUAUAGUGUAACUUGUAAAAUUUAAUCUAAUUUUCUUAUUGAGAGAUUUCACAAGUAAUCUUGUUAUCCAUGGCAUUUGGGGAAAUUUUCUUUGACUACUGGUCUUCUUUUUACACAAUGGUAUAUUCACAUCAUGCAGCAAUAAAAAAUAGCUCAAUAAUUUGUCAAAAGCAAUAUCAACUUUUUGAUAAAAAAUAUCACUCCAGUCAUUGACAGCCAGGGCAGCCUUGAAUUUUUAAAAAUAUUUUUUCAAAGUUUGUUCUUCAAACAUAUUUUCAAUGACUAGUAAUAGCUGAAGUUUGUUUCACUGAAGUAAAAAAAAUGUCAAAUGUUCUGUAAAUGUCCCGUAUGACACGUAUGGAAUCACCCUUUGUGGUUAAUAGCCCCUUCUGGCAAUAAUCAUUAGCUGAAAAAAAAAGAAAGAAGCACAUUGGAGCUGUCUUCAUGUACAUACAAUGAAUAAUACAAAUUAAUAAAAGUAUAUAAAACCUCACUGUAUCGCUCAGUCAGUAAAAUACCAGAAUUAGCACAUCACGCUAUUCAAUUUGUAAAUUAACAUGAAAAUAUGCAAAAAUAAAUCUAGAUCUUGACUAAAAACAUUGCAUUGGCAAAGAGAGUCUACUAACUUUUUGUCGCAACGGAUGAACUCCAGGGCUGAAAUUGCCUGGUCAUUUUGAAGUGUGACAUCAUCAUCAUAUGGAUUUUGGAGCUGUAUAAAAUUGUAUGGCAGAAUCUCUUUGAUCAGUAGGGUAGUUGCUUUCAGGGGAGAUGGAGGUGGUAAACCUCCACCAGUUUCUUGUUGUUUUCUCCUGUAUUCCCCAUACUCCUUGGCAAUUAUGCGUUGUCGCUUCCACAAUUCCUUUAUUUGAGCCACUGCCCAUUUUUCUCCAAAUCUUUGCGUGAAUUGAUCAUGUACAGCAUUCCAGGCAUCUUUCUUCACUUCAUUAGCUUUUUGAUGUGUCUCCUUGUUGCAUAUGACUUGAUGGCGAUCAUGAAUCAGUAUUAAAAAGAGAUUAAUUUCGCUGUUUUGCCAUUUGCUUAGUUUGGGUUUUGCCAUUUUAGAAGUUGCAGCAGCUGUUGUGUGGUGGAAAUUGCAUGCAGUGGUUGUGUGUGUGCUAUGGAUAUGUGUGUUGUGUGUAUGUGAAUUGAAUAUAACCCAGGAGAAAAACCUGAUAGAGUGUGAGAUAGAAACUUGCAAUGCAGCAAUUCAGAGUUGCCAUAGUGGUUUCCUGCAAAGUUUGAGUUUCAUUUCUUUCAUCCUCUGACAGGACUAUCUCUUCUUUCAAUCUUAGAUCAUUGAUGUUAGCAAUGUAGUGUGCUGGUGUCAUUACUUAUGCCCGUUUCCACUCUUCCCAAAGGCUUCUUUUUCUGCUCUUAGCUUUUUGCCCAUUUCCUUCCACAUGUUCAAUGCUCUCCCUAUUCUGUAAGCAUCUGCUUGUACCUGGUGAAGAGCAGUAGCAAUGGAUGAAAGCCAAGCCAACAGUUCUUCAGUAGAUCCCUUCAGAGAAGGUUCGAUGACUUUCCUUUCUAACUUUCAGGGGUGCUUUUGAUGAAAUACUCCUGUCCCAUAAAAAACUCACCACAUUAAA